RNAcentral lists this ribosomal RNA (253 nucleotides) under uncultured bacterium. RNAcentral describes it as "partial 16S ribosomal RNA". It matches the Rfam family "Bacterial small subunit ribosomal RNA", at positions 524 to 776 of the family's 1533-position model. The record is from RNAcentral.
UACGUAGGGUGCGAGCGUUGUCCGGAAUUAUUGGGCGUAAAGGGCUCGUAGGCGGUUUGUCGCGUCGGGAGUGAAAUCCACUGGCUUAACUGGUGGCUUGCUUUCGAUACGGGCAGACUGGAGGUAUGCAGGGGAGAACGGAAUUCCUGGUGUAGCGGUGAAAUGCGUAGAUAUCUGGAGGAACACCGGUGGCGAAGGCGGCAUCCUGGACCGAGAUUGACGCUGAGGCGCGAAAGCCAGGGGAGCAAACGGG